UACAGGGGGUGCAAACGUUGCUCGGAAUUACUGGGCGUAAAGCGUGCGCAGGCGGUUUUGUAAGCCAGAUGUGAAAGCCCCGGGCUCAACCUGGGAAUGGCAUUUGGGACUGCAAGGCUUGAGUGCGGCAGAGGAGACUGGAAUUCCUGGUGUAGCAGUGAAAUGAGUAGAUAUUGGGAGGAACACCGGUGGCGAAGGCGGCUAUCUGGACCGGUACUGACGCUGAGACGCGAAAGCCAGGGGAGCAAACGGG
RNAcentral lists this ribosomal RNA (253 nucleotides) under uncultured bacterium. Its description in RNAcentral is "partial 16S ribosomal RNA". It matches the Rfam family "Bacterial small subunit ribosomal RNA", at positions 524 to 776 of the family's 1533-position model. The record is from RNAcentral.